GGCAACCCGCUGGGGUUCCUUUCCACCGUGUGGAAGCUUUGUUCUUUCACUCUUUGCAAUAAAUCUUGCUACUGCACACUCUUUGGGUCCACACUGCUUUUAUAAGCUGUAACACUCACCGCGAAGGUCUGCAGCUUCACUCCUGAAGCCAGCGAGCCCACGAGCCCAUGGGGAGGAACAAACAACUCCAGAUGCGCCACCUUAAGAGCUGUAACACUCACCGCGAAGGUCUAAAGCUUCACUCCUGAGCCAGCGAGACUACGAUCCCACCAGAAGGAAGAAACCCCAAACACAUCCGAACAUCAGAAGGAACAAACUCCAGACGCACCACCUUAAGAGCUGUAACGCUCACCGUGAGGGUCCGCGGCUUCAUUCUUGAAGUCAGUGAGACCAAGAACCCACCAAUUCCGGACACAUUGCCAUAGCUAGAAAAGUCUUCCUGUUUUUCAUGAUUAAUCCAUUUACUUGUCAAGUGUAGUGAAAUCUGUUCUUGCUAGCUGCCCAGCACCCAACCCCUUAUUCUGGUAAAAUCCCCUCAAUUUUCCUUUGAAAACCUCCUCACCCCUUCUCAACCCAUGUGGCGCUGACUCCCUCUCCAAGGUUCAGGGCAGGGCGUGGGACUCAAGCUUGGCCAAUUAGAGCCUUCCAUUUUUAUGGCUGCAGUGACUGGUCCAGAGAUGGGCAUGUGACCUAAGCCAAGCCAAUGAGCUUCAAUUCUGAGACUUCUGCAGGAAGGACUGGGGACUAAUUUCUUCGGAGUGGAUUUAGAAGUGUAAGG
This 778-nucleotide long non-coding RNA is filed under the name Homo sapiens (human). RNAcentral's name for it is "HSALNT0402033". The record is from RNAcentral. Lineage: Eukaryota; Metazoa; Chordata; Mammalia; Primates; Hominidae.